CACGUAGUUAGCCGGGGCUUCUUACUCAGGUACCGUCAUUUUCUUCCCUGCUGAUAGAGCUUUACAUCACGAAUGACUUCUUCACUCACGCGGCGUUGCUGCAUCAGGGUUUCCCCCAUUGUGCAGUAUUCCCCACUGCUGCCUCCCGUAGGAGUUUGGGCCGUGUCUCAGUCCCAAUGUGGCCGUUCACCCUCUCAGGCCGGCUACUGAUCGUCGCCUUGGUGGGCUUCUACCCCGCCAACCAGCUAAUCAGACGCGGAUCCAUCUUACACCACCGGAGUUUUUCACACUGAGCCAUGCGGCUCCGUGCGCUUAUGCGGUAUUAGCACCUAUUUCUAAGUGUUAUCCCCCAGUGCAAGGCAGGUUAUCCACGCGUUACUCACCCGUCCGCCACUAAGUUACGAAUCACUAGGUUUCAUCGUAACUCCGUUCGACUUGCAUGUGUUAGGCACGCCGCCAGCGUUCAUCCUGAGCCAGGAUCAAACUCU
This 488-nucleotide ribosomal RNA is filed under the name uncultured Lachnospiraceae bacterium. Its description in RNAcentral is "partial 16S ribosomal RNA". Lineage: Bacteria; Bacillati; Bacillota; Clostridia; Lachnospirales; Lachnospiraceae. The record is from RNAcentral.